This 994-nucleotide long non-coding RNA is filed under the name Heterocephalus glaber (naked mole-rat). RNAcentral's name for it is "lncRNA (ENSHGLG00000040078.1)". The record is from RNAcentral. Lineage: Eukaryota; Metazoa; Chordata; Mammalia; Rodentia; Bathyergidae.
CCUGCCCAGGGUAGGAGUCUGCCGCUAUGUCACAAGCUACGUCACAAGCUACGUCACAAGAGGAUGGCGCUGUAGAGGAGGAAGGGAGGGGAACGGUCACGACCGCGCACGGGCAGAAGGCCGGCACGCAGAGAAGACAAGUUAGAUCCGGCUACGAGACUUAAAGGCGGAGGGAACUGCUUGGACCGCAGCACAGGGCGGAUCAGACCGGUAGUGCUUCCUGUUGUGAGCCGCGCAACCCUGCCGGUUUCGCUUCCUAGAAAUGACGAGAUGGGCGUGCUCCUGACUCUUGACCAUUGGGAAAUCUUCCCAGCCUGGAAUUGUUCCUUUGCUGCUUUUGCUACCCUGUGGGUGCCAUGUUUUAUCUCCUCUGCGAUACCUGUUUGCCAUCCCUGCCUUGGAGCCAGGUGAUUAUGGACUGAAACUUCUACAAAUUUGCACGUUGUUCAGAAUACUAAGAAGCUCCUGGCCAGACAUGGUGGUACAAGCCUAUAAGCCCAGCACUCAGGAGGCAGAGGCAAGAGGAUCACUGAGUUCAAAGCCAGGCUGAACUACAUAGUAAGACCCUGUCUCAAAAAAAAAAAAAAGCUCCUGAUAAAAGAGGAAGACGAGAGAGGUAACAAGAAUGGCCUGCCACACAGGAAAGGAAAACUAAGCACUUGUACUGUCAGCUGCCAUGGGUUGAAUGCCUUGUCCUCUGCCACACCCUUUGGACAUACUGUUUUUUGCCUUGGAGCAUGCUGACCAUGGACUGAAAUUGUGAGCCAAAAUCAACUCCUCCUUUAAAUUUCAGAUGGCAGGUGUUGUGUCCCAGCAAAGAGAAAGCAGCUGAGAUAAGCCAUGAAGAUUGAUUGUAUGUGCAUUGAUUAUUUCACCUCCAGUAACCUUUCUCCAGGCUUUAAGUCACCCUGCUGCUUUAUUCCAUAAAUAUCUCUAUCCUUGGAGAGGUAGUUUGAGAUUUGAGUUUCCCCUUACACACUUGGCCACCAUGUGA